This is a long non-coding RNA of Trachemys scripta elegans, 648 nucleotides long. RefSeq lists it as uncharacterized. The record is from RefSeq and is a predicted model, not a curated record. The transcript is spliced from 3 exons. NCBI's taxonomy places the organism in Eukaryota, Metazoa, Chordata, Testudines, Emydidae.
CCCUUACUGGUCUGGGUGAGCCCCCUAAAGCAUCACAAAAGUGAAGAGGAACACCAGGCCCAUUUGGAAGUGCAGGAAGAACCUUAGCCCUGCAGGGGCCUGCCUGACUCUGCAUUGUCUGGGGAAGCCUCUGAUGCUGGGAGGAGUCACCGGUGACCAGUUCAGCCAGUCCCAAUGGGGCACAAGAGCCUUAAUGUGAUGAAGAAUUGGGCCCUGGUGGUAUUGAUAAUGUGUUCCUCAGAGCUUGAUUCAACAUUCCGGUCCCUUCAGGUCAAGGCUGAGAAAGUUCACAUCUCUCUGAUCUCCAAUGAGUCUUCUGGUACAACUAGGGAAGGCCAGACUUAACAUGCCUGAUAUUUCUACAAAACACAAACAUGCUUCCCCCCACCUCAUGAACAACAAAGACAAAGCAACCAGCCUUCCCUGCUUUCUUUACACAUCAAGGAGAAACAAAAGAAAAAUGUGAUGGGGUGUAGAAACCACACAUUGGGUUAAUGACAGGCCAUGGGUGCAAUCAGCCCUGCCCUGUUAUGCCUGCAGUAGGUGUCAAGGCUGGAGGGAGGAGCUAAAAGGGCUGAAUCUGGCUUAGUUGAGAACUGGCUAGGGAAGGAGAGUAGCAGCAUGUGCUGCGGACCUGCGGGAUCGGUC